AACCUGCCUUAUAGUGGGGGGAUAGCCUUUCGAAAGGAAAGAGUUAAUACCGCAUAAGAUUGUAGUAUCGCAUGAUAUAGCAAUUAAAGGAGCAAUUCGCUAUAAGAUGGACCCGCGUCGCAUUAGCUAGUUGGUGAGGUAAUGGCUCACCAAGGCGACGAUGCGUAGCCGACCUGAGAGGGUGAUCGGCCACAUUGGGACUGAGACACGGCCCAGACUCCUACGGGAGGCAGCAUG
RNAcentral lists this ribosomal RNA (237 nucleotides) under uncultured bacterium. Its description in RNAcentral is "partial 16S ribosomal RNA". It matches the Rfam family "Bacterial small subunit ribosomal RNA", at positions 123 to 353 of the family's 1533-position model. The record is from RNAcentral.